UGACGACAGUCUCCCCUUCAGCUAUGGCCAGUCCCAAUGUCCCAGGCCCGGGUCUCCCCUCCCAGGCUGUGUUGGACGGGGGAGCUGAGGCGGUGGCCGGGCCCUGUCUGAGGAAGAGGGUGGGGCGUGGACUAACGCUGACCAAUAAGAGAGAAGGAAGCUACGAUUGGCGGUGAUGAGCACUAAUGGGAGAUCGUCUUUACCUUAUGGAGUGCCGCCCCUCUUCUCUCCCUCCUCCCGCCUCCUUCCUUUGGGGGAGAAGGCGGGGCCAGAGGCCUGAAGUGUGGGGAGAACUUGGGGCUCCGCUCUGCUAUAUGAAAUAUGGGAGACGACAGACCGUUUGUGUGCAAUGCCCCGGGCUGUGGACAGAUCAGACUCCUACUCCAACUAGAUUCCUGAAGAACUGUGAGGAGGUGGGGCUCUUCAAUGAACUAGCUAGCUCCUUUGAACAUGAAUUCAAGAAAGCUGCAGAUGAGGAUGAAAAAAAGGCUGCUACAGGGCCCCUUGACAUGUCUCUGCCUUCCACACCAGACAUUAAAAUCAAAGAAGAGGAGCCAGUGGAGGUAGACUCAUCCCCACCUGACAGUCCUGCCUCCAGCCCCUGCUCCCCGCCACUCAAGGACAAGGAGGUUGCCCCAAAGCCUGUUGUGAUCUCUACCCCAACGCCUACCAUUGUACGCCCUGGGUCCCUGCCUCUCCACUUGGGCUAUGAUCCACUUCACCCAACCCUUCCCUCCCCAACCUCUGUCAUCACACAGGCUCCACCAUCCAACAGGCAACUGGGGUCCCCCACUGGCUCCCUUCCUCUUGUCAUGCAUCUUGCUAAUGGACAGACCAUGCCUGUGCUGCCAGGGCCUCCAGUACAGAUGCCUUCUGUUAUAUCGCUGGCCAGGCCUGUGUCUAUGGUGCCCAACAUUCCUGGUAUCCCUGGCCCACCAGUUAACAGCAGUGGUUCCAUUUCUCCCUCUGGCCACCCUAUGCCAUCAGAAGCCAAGAUGAGACUAAAAGCCACCCUAACCCACCAAGUUUCCUCAAUUAAUGGUGGUUGUGGAAUGGUGGCGGGUACAGCCAGCACCAUGGUGACAGCCCGUCCUGAGCAGAGCCAGAUCCUCAUCCAGCACCCUGAUGCCCCAUCCCCUGCCCAGCCACAGGUCUCACCAGCCCAGCCCACUCCUAGUACAGGAGGGCGACGGCGGCGCACAGUGGAUGAAGAUCCAGAUGAGCGGCGGCAGCGCUUUCUGGAACGCAACCGGGCUGCCGCCUCUCGCUGCCGUCAAAAGCGGAAGCUAUGGGUGUCCUCCCUAGAGAAGAAGGCAGAGGAACUCACGUCUCAGAACAUUCAGCUGAGUAAUGAAGUCACGUUACUUCGCAAUGAGGUGGCUCAGUUGAAACAGCUACUGUUAGCUCAUAAAGACUGCCCAGUCACUGCACUACAGAAAAAGACCCAAGGCUAUUUAGAAAGCCCCAAGGAAAGCUCGGAGCCGACGGGUUCUCCAGCCCCUGUGAUUCAGCACAGCUCAGCAACAGCACCUAGCAAUGGCCUCAGUGUUCGCUCUGCAGCUGAAGCUGUGGCCACCUCAGUCCUCACUCAGAUGGCCAGCCAAAGGACAGAACUGAGCAUGCCAAUACAGUCGCAUGUGAUUAUGACGCCACAGUCCCAGUCUGCAGGCAGAUGAUGCCUCCCCUGGUGGAGAGGUCCCCAGCCAGAGCUCGCCCGUUCAAGAACCAAGAGAGAUGUCAUCUUAUCCCCUCUCAUCUGCCUUGGACAUGGCAAUAUGGGGAAAAAACUGUGUGUUAGCCAGUGCUGAACAAGCCACACCUGGUGAAGAGAAAGGAGAGAAAACAUGGUUUUCUCAUCCUCUGCCACCCGGGACCCAACAGGAACAGCCCCUGAGGUGACUCAGAUUAGCAAAUGGCAUGGCAGAUGGUCAGGAUGCAGGUUUCCACCUCCAGGGACUCCACUUGCCUUUAAAAUUCACAGCCAUAACUUGUGCUCAGGACCCUUCUUUCAGACGGCUGCUCCCUGGGCUUUUCUCUUGCUUUAGUUUUGUUUCAUUUUUUAUUUUCUUGAUUUCCCACUAGCAGCCUUGCCCUUAAGCUUGACUGAGUUUAUGGCUCCUAAGGAGCCUUCAUAAGACCCUUCACUAUUUUUCUUCCCCUUCAGUCAAGUGUGUUUCAAGUGAAGAAUCCACUUGUUAGUGCACACAGGCCCUGCCUCACUGCUGGGCCCUGGAGGAGGCUGAGUCCUGCCCACCUGUCCCUGAGUAGGUUAGCUAAUUCACACACAGGGUCUCAGUCUCUUAACCCCCAUUCUGAUUCUCAUUUUCAUCAAUGGGAAGUUAGCAUUGGGUACCUAAAUGGGGGCAUUGACACAGUCUCAGUAGUAAAGCAGCAGUGACAUGAGGAAGGGGCAGGAUGAGCCUCCAGACAGCUCUUCAGUUGGUCCUCAGUCUCACUAAGAAGGCAGAACAAUUGCUUACCAUGAAGCCUCCCUUAUAGUCAAGGGGAGCAUCAUUGACCUUAUUGCUCCAGCUGUGUGGCCACUCUCCCUUGCUCUUUGCCUUCCAGACUCAUCUGGACCAGAAUCAGAUAUCAUGGAGGGUAUCAUUUAGCCCUUGUUAAGGGCCAUGGCCUUUCUAGGGACCUAAGAAAGACACUUCUGAAAGGCACUGGGAGUGUGGACCCUUGGGGCUCUUCAAGUGAACACAGGAUGCAGGCCUCUCACUUCACUCCAAAGACAGCUGUUGGAUACCCAGGGCGAUAGAGAAAGGGGCCAGAACCAGGUCUGGUGUGCUGACUUCUGCCCCAUUCCCUUGAAAAUGUGCUUAGACUUGAAAAACCUAAGAAAGCUUCCCCUACAACUAGCAGAAAUGGGAAGAGUAGGUAGGACCUUUUUUACGUACUCUUUCCCUGUUGGUUAUAUACCCCAAAUCUGGCUUGCUUCAGCCUCCACUCCUCUUCUUGGCCCUAAGACUAGACCAAAAUCUUCCGGUGGUGAUAAAGAAGGUGACCUAACAAUCUCACCUUGCUGCCUUCCUUUGCGUCGUGGUGGUGUUCUUGGCUCCUUUCCUGAUUCACUGCCCUCCAGCACCACACAUCCUGAUAGAUGGGGUGCUUAGUCAUAACCAUGCCGUCUACAGUCUGAACCACCAAGCAGACAUCAGGAUCCUCCUCUGGCUUCUGAGGCUCCCAUGUUCCACACUGAGAGGCUCCUUUAAAGGUGCUAGCCCUGAGACAGCUCUCCCCCCAUAGUUCUCCCUUUCCCUCAUAACUUCCUUUCCAUCCCCAAAUCAUUAUUUUCCAUUAAUAUUGUACAUUGUAUACACAGGAAGGAAAUGUAUUUUUUUAUUUCAUAACCAAUCUGUUUAGAAUCCAGCCCUCCCAGCUAUAUCACAUAUGCCUUUGUUGAUGUGCUCUUCGUGCUUUCUUUAGACUUGACAGGGGCGGAGGGAGGAACAAGACAAGUGAGGAUCCUCGACCUCCACACCCUAAUCAUCCCCUCAGAGUGCGGAACUGAUUCUCUGUUUCUGUUUACAACACACACGUGCACACGGACAUAAAUCCCUCUCCCCCUCCCCUAGGGUGCCAGCCCAGCAGGAAUGAGCAUAGGUGGCUGCUGGCCACCAUUCCCACCCUCUGUAGCAGUUCAUUCAUCUCUCUGGGAAAAGAAUGAGAAAAGGCUGAGGAGAGUAGGGAAGGUUAAUGCAGCUUAUGUCCUUUGUAGAGGCAAGUUUGUGUUGUAGCUGCUAGGGUUUGUUUUUUAAUGGGGGCUGGUAGCACCGAGAUAUCUUACCAGCAUUAGCUACUACUGGUGAGUGAGGUUUUAGCGAUAAGAAAUGGCUAUGAGCACUAGUUUCAUUGACUUUCCCUUAGGGCAGCUGUUUUCAGAACAUGGUCCAGGACUAGCAACACCAGCAGCACUGGGGUCUGGGAAAUUGUGAGAAAUGCACAUUUGGGCCCCACCCCUGACCCAUCGAAUCAGAAAUUCUGGGAUUGGGCUCUAACAAGCACCCCGAGUGAUUCUAUGCACACUAACAUUUGAGAACCAUCGCCCUAGGGGCAAGCUGGGAAGUUCUUGUAGGGUUUCAAGACUCUUUUAAGUACCAUCGUCUGCCUUAGCGCUAACAUAUGUAUUUUUCCAUUUCCUCCAGUCCCUCUCUCCAUUCCCAUUAAAACAACAAUCACAUCAUUCAUCUCAAAAUCUAGGUUUGUCUUCAACCUACUUAUCCCUAAAACCCUGCAUCGUUCUGGACAGGUGUUGUCCCAUAUUCCCUUGCAAACUGGUCACUCCACACUCUGUUACAGGAAGGACCAGCUGGAGUUUUAGCUGUUGUGUUCACACACACAUACACACACACACACACCCCUUCAGGCAGGGAGACAAGCCUCCAGCCCCAGCAGUGGAGGCUGCAGCCUCCUGAUAUAGUACUUAUUGAAAAGAAAGCAGUGUGUAUCUGUGGUUAUAUCUCUGCUCAUCUGUAUAUCUUUGACAUGUAGCAAAACCUCUCUAUCUCAUCAAGGAACUGCAUUGUGGGUCUGAGUCCCCCAGUCCCCAGUGGCAGACUUUGACAGAUGGGAGCGUGCAGUGCUACAGGCUAUUUUGUUACAAACCAUCGUCUCCCUUUCCCCUCCACCCCAUUCAGCAUGACCCCUGUGAGCAGGCUCACAAUCUCCCGGGACGGGGCUGAGGCAGAGGCUUUGCUCUGUUCUCCCUAACCGUUCCUUCUUCCUUCCCCCUUGCCACUUAGCAGUUAUCCCCACAGCCAUGCCUUCUCCCUCUUUCCCUUGCCCUGACAUAUAUUGUGCCUUAUUUAUGCUGCAAAUAUAACAUUAAACUAUUGAGAGAACCACU
Molecule: RNA transcript, 4852 nt
Organism: Miniopterus natalensis
Lineage: Eukaryota; Metazoa; Chordata; Mammalia; Chiroptera; Miniopteridae
Gene name: cyclic AMP-dependent transcription factor ATF-7
Source: RefSeq, a predicted model, not a curated record